GACAGAGGAGGCAAGCGUUAUACGGAGUUAUUGGGCGUAAAGCGUCCGUAGGUGGUUUGACAAGUCUGGGGUUAAAGCCCGGAGCCCAACUCCGGAUCGGCCCUGGAAACUGUCAGACUUGAGUAAGGUAGGGGUUGCGGGAAUUCCCGGUGUAGCGGUGAAAUGCGUAGAUAUCGGGAAGAACACCAGCGGCGAAAGCGCGCAACUGGGCCAUUACUGACACUGAGGGACGAAAGCUAGGGGAGCGAAGGGG
Molecule: ribosomal RNA, 253 nt
Filed under: uncultured bacterium
Lineage: Bacteria
Description: partial 16S ribosomal RNA
Rfam family: Bacterial small subunit ribosomal RNA
Source: RNAcentral